This 566-nucleotide ribosomal RNA is filed under the name Capitofimbria compacta. RNAcentral's name for it is "eukaryotic LSU rRNA". It matches the Rfam family "Eukaryotic large subunit ribosomal RNA", at positions 74 to 668 of the family's 3401-position model. Lineage: Eukaryota; Fungi; Ascomycota; Sordariomycetes; Hypocreales; Stachybotryaceae. The record is from RNAcentral.
AUUGCCUCAGUAACGGCGAGUGAAGCGGCAACAGCUCAAAUUUGAAAUCUGGCCCUAGGCCCGAGUUGUAAUUUGCAGAGGAUGCUUUUGACAAGGUGCCUUCCGAGUUCCCUGGAACGGGACGCCAUAGAGGGUGAGAGCCCCGUCUGGUCGGACACCGAGUCUCUGUAAAGCUCCUUCGACGAGUCGAGUAGUUUGGGAAUGCUGCUCAAAAUGGGAGGUAUAUGUCUUCUAAAGCUAAAUACCGGCCAGAGACCGAUAGCGCACAAGUAGAGUGAUCGAAAGAUGAAAAGCACUUUGAAAAGAGAGUUAAACAGCACGUGAAAUUGUUGAAAGGGAAGCGUUUAUGACCAGACUUGGCCCGGUUGAUCAUCCAGCGUUCUCGCUGGUGCACUCUGCCGGUCCAGGCCAGCAUCAGUUCGCCUUGGGGGAUAAAGGUUUCGGGAAUGUGGCUCCUCGGGAGUGUUAUAGCCCGUUGCAUAAUACCCUGCGGUGGACUGAGGUCCGCGCUUCUGCAAGGAUGCUGGCGUAAUGGUCAUCAACGACCCGUCUUGAAACACGGACCA